This 9969-nucleotide long non-coding RNA is filed under the name Lactuca sativa (garden lettuce). RNAcentral's name for it is "long non-coding RNA (LSAT_LNC001027)". The record is from RNAcentral. Lineage: Eukaryota; Viridiplantae; Streptophyta; Magnoliopsida; Asterales; Asteraceae.
UCCCAUCCGACCCGCGUGCCAGCGAUCCGUCCCAUCCGACCCGCGAACCCAGGAACCCGUCCCAUCCGAGGCCGAGGCGGUCGUGGCUCGGUCAUGCAUGACGCACGCGUACGCGCUGCGUACUAGCGUACGCCCCGCGUACCGAGGCAGACCAGCCUCUCUAUAAAUAGCAUACGAAGGUUUCCAAAGAAAGGGCUCAUUUCUCUCCUCUCUCUCACAACUUUGCCUCAUUUUCCGUGCCCGUUCAAACCCGAAGCUCUGGUCUUUUUGGCUCAAGUCCUGAAGGUCGAUUUUACUCCCGAGAUUCCCGAGAAUCCCGAGGAAAAUCCGUUUCCCGAGACGAAACUCUGCCCGGUUUUCCAUCUCGCUAUCUCCAAAACUUUCAAGUGAGUUUCAUACCCCUUAAUCAACCGUUUUAAUUAUUCUAAAUACUUUUAUAUGCUUUCAAAGGGGGGGAUUACAAGUAUGACACACGAGUAUUAUCGUGUGUUACAUAAAGAAACUCUUUUAUAUACUGUUAAAUAUUCAAAUCACAUUCGGUUUAUAAACUUUUAAAGGAACUUUUAUAUAUAAAUAUGAAACAUAUGUUACAAUAGUAUUCGAAUCUUUUAAAAUAUGAAGUUGUUGUAAUACAUGUAUAAAACUAAACUGUUCUUAAAUUAUUCUUUUUCUAAGUAUUUCUAAACAAAUAAAGCACACUUUUUAAAACUAUAAUAGGUAUAGUUUUACGAACAGAUUUCUAACUCUUAUGUACUAGAAACAUAUAUUUCAAGAGGUAUACCUUCGUAUACAAGAACAAACGUAACAUUUUAACAAGUUGAUCUGUUUUUAUACCACGGGUUUGUGAGACACUAACUUCAUGUACGUUCGAGUACACAUCUCAAGUCCUGUAUUAUAUACCAGAAUCCCUUGGAGGGGGAGCAUGGUGUUUGUGUAUAGAUCUAUACGGGCUUGACAACCCGCGCCCUGACUGUUAGCUGCAGUCCACCGUUUGGGGUGACAAACGUCAUAACAUUCCAACGCCUGAAGAACGUUGUGUAUAGGCAUUCAGAGUCAAUAGUAUGGUUAUAAAACUCACAAGGGGUAUUAAAAAUGCAUUGAUUUACAAGGUUUUCAAACUCAUUGGUUAUUUUACAUUUACAUACAUUUUGGAAACAAACAUUGGUCUUGAGUGAAGGCUACUUUUAUACUAGUAGAAAAUAUAGGAUUUUCUAAACACAAACAAACAAAGAUAAAACAUUUCAUUUCAUUCAAACAUUGUCACUUAAAUACUUAUGAAAUUCACCAGCUUAAAUGCUGAUCAACUCUUUCAAAAUUACUUGUAUGUCCCAGGGAUUUAGUAAAUUUCAGGUACUAGUAUGCUUUUGAAGAAGAGAUGCUGCGGCGCCAGUUUAAUCUCAUAUUUUUGAACAUCAUAUUGUAAUUGGUUUUGAACAUGUAACUUUUGACAAAUGUAAACUUUCAAUUAUAUAUAUGAUGGUUGUAUUGCUUUCUUUACUAUGUAUUCAUUUGUUACGCUACCACAUGAAGUCAUCCACCCCCGAACGUUUCCGCCGUUCAGGUUUGGGGGUGUGACAGAUUGGUAUCAGAGCAAUGUUUAUAGUGAACUAAGUAUAUCGAACCACAUAAGAUAUACAAACUAUAAAUGCUUAAGGGACUAAUACUCUCUAACAAAACAAAUUUCUUUUUACACUUAAGCAGCAUUUCGUUCAACUUAAAUUAAUAGUUCAUUUAAGUACAAUUACAUGCAUACCACAAACUAUUUUCAUGUUAUACAAUUUUACAAGUAUAUAGGCAGGUUGAUACGCACGAAUCAAGGAAUGAUCGUAGUAAGCAACAAGUCAAACCUUACCAAGUCAUUACAAAAAUCAAACACAAGAAUUUAAAUACUAUAGGAGUAUUUACUAUCUAAAACUAGUUUAACUUACAUGUUUUACAUGUCCCGACGUUAUUCAAUUCUUAUAACCUUAAUUCUCGUAUAGUCAAAUGGCUGGAUUUCACCACCCUGGCGAUCCCUACUUUCCCAACCAAGGUAACGGAGGAUGGAUCGAGGAUGAUCCCGAAGAGGACGAGGAACCCAUAAACGUGGGUGAUGACUCCGGUACCGACUCAGAGCCGGAUGUUAUCGAUCCACCACCCAUUCAACCUCCCGUCUUCGUAAGGAACUUUCAAGGACCGACUCCCGUCUGGGGAAGUCACCUCUACCAUUGGAGUCAACAGCAAAACCUACGCCCUCCCUACGGCAUGUGUCGGGACUUCUAUGAUGUCCGCGGCGGAGGUUCGGCUGAUCGAGCACUCCCAGUAAUGGUGGGUAAGUUAGCCAAUCAGUCCUAUCAGUCUGGAGUACAAGCUAGUCGACUCCGGGAUAUCAACGUAGAAGUGCAGGUUCACACUUCUGACAUCCGUAGGUUGGACAAUAGGCAAGACAACGCUCAGUUCCAAACCGAAGCGUUUCAAGCGCAAAUUAUUGCAGCCCUCGCCGAACUAAGGGAACAGCAAGCCGCUUUAGAUAGACGUCUAAUGGAGUCAAAGCAAUCAGAUGCGGAGUCAAGCUCCAAACGCAACUUUCGACACAAGUAGUGCUUGCCAAGAACUCAAAUUUUGUUAUAGCUUAGGACCUCGGCUAAAAGUCUUUAAAUUUCUUAAACUUAGUAAACGGAGAUCCUUAUAGAGGACAAAUUUUCUUGAUCGUUGUAACAACUUUUAUAUUAAUAUAAGUGGCACUAUUAUUACUAUGUGGAGUAUUUCGUUCGAACCUUGAAUGGUCCUUGGGAACCCAAAUACUUGUUUCAUACUUUCAGUCUUACAAAUAACUUUCAUUCUUCUAUUUUAAGACUCGUGCUAUCUUUUGUUGUUGAAUUAUAGAGAUUUAAUUCAUGAGACACAUACAUUUUCCAUUUCAUGAAAUUCUUAUCAUUGUUUUAUUUCCAUCUAUAGUUGAAGGAUGCCUCCGCGUAGGAAUCCAAGGCGAUACAACAAUGAGGAAAUACCUAUACCACCACCUCCACCACCCCAAUUUGAUGCUGUAAUGUUUCAAGCAGCCGUCAACGCAGCAGUGGCAGCUGCCAUGUCACAGAUCAAUAACUCGAGUGCUAAUGGCUCGGGAUCUGGCGUACACACGUCCAAUCAUGGCGAGAGUCAUGGACCACCUCGGGAAUGCACCUAUAAGGACUUCACCAAUGCCAAGCCCCGGAUGUUUUAUGGUACUGGUGGUGUGAUGGCCCUGAGACAAUGGAUUGAAAGGACGGAGGCAGUCUUUGAAAUAUGCUCUUGUCCCGAACACAGCAAGGUCAAGUUUGCAACCUUCACCCUUCUCGAUAAAGCUUUAACUUGGUGGAAUGGCCACGUUAAAGUACUUACCCUAAUCGUGGCAAACUCCAUAAGCUGGGAGAGCUUGAAGGCCAUGAUGAUGAGAGAAUACUGCCCACGGGGAGAAAUUCAAAAGCUUGAACACGAGCUAUGGACUCUCGGAAUGGUGGGUACCGACAUCGCUACUUAUACCAACAGAUUCUGCGAACUGGCAAUCCUUUGUCCAGAUAUGAUUGCUCCCGAGAGCAAGAAGAUAGAAAGGUACAUCUGGGGACUGACGCCCCGGAUGCGGUCAAGCGUGUUAGCUUCCAAACCUGACACUUUUGAAAGUGCUAAGGAACUAGCACAAUCUCUGAUCGACUACGGAGGUCAUCAGAACUCAACCACUUCUGCACGAGCACCACAGAAAGAAAACAACAACUACAACAACAACAACAAUGGCAGGAAGAGAGCGUGGAUCAAAGGAAAGGGUGGAUCUUCCCAAGAAUCCGCAAAGAAACCACUCGUGUCGGUUAAUGCUGCUAUUGUACCUGCUACAGUCCCUACAAAUACCUACCCAACAAAGCCUUAUGUAGGCAACCUCCCAAAAUGCACCAAGUGCAAUUUCCACCACCAUGGACCUUGCCGAGAUAUGCAGUGUGCCAACUGCAACAGGAAAGGACACACGGCUCGUUUCUGCAAAGAACCCGCAAAGCCGAUCACUCAAGUUCCCGGUGCGGGUGUAGGGCAGGCUUGCUACGGUUGUGGUGAGGUGGGCCACUACAAGAGAAACUGUCCUAAGGCAGCAGGCACCGGAGGUGUGGGACGAGUUUUGGCAAUAGGCCACGACGAAGCUGUAGCUGACCCAACUAUAGUUGCUGGUACGUUCCUUCUCGAUAAUUCAUACGCAUGCAUAUUAUUUGAUAGUGGAGCGGAGAGAAGCUUCGUGAGUCAAAACUUUAUCCAUUUACUUAAACCUAAACCUAGCAAGUUAAAAGAAUCAUUCACUGUAGAGAUGGCCAAUGGAAAAACCGAAAGCACAAAUUACAUAUACAUGGGCUGUACGUUAACAUUGGACGGCCAUUCUUUCCCAAUCAAUCUCAUGCCAUUACAAAUUAAAAGUUUCGACGUCAUAGUCGGCAUGGAUUGGUUGAGCCUUCUUCGCGCCGACAUCAUGUGCUUUGAGAAAGCAGUCCGUCUUAACCUCCCUAACAACGAAACAUUAGUUAUCUACGGCGACAAAUCUAGUGCAAACCUUCGCAUCAUUUCGUGCAUCCAAGCUCGAAAGUGCUUGCGGAAGGAUUGUCGAGCAUUCCUAGCGCACAUCGUCGAUACAAGUCAAGAACUGAAGGACAUCAAGAGCAUCUCGGUAGUACGCGACUUUCCCGAUAUCUUUCCAGAAGAACUACCAGGAUUACCACCGCAACGCCAAGUCGAGUUCAGAAUCGACUUAAUUCCAGGAGCUACCCCAGUAGCGAAGUCGCCUUAUCGUCUUGCACCAGCAGAGAUGCAGGAACUUUCCAGUCAACUUAAUGAACUCCUUCACAAAGGAUUCAUAAGACCAAGUUUCUCACCUUGGGGAGCACCGGUCUUGUUUGUAAAGAAGAAAGACGGAUCGUUCCGUAUGUGCAUCGACUACAGAGAGCUGAACAAACUUACUGUCAAGAACCGCUAUCCUCUACCCCGUAUCGACGACCUAUUCGAUCAACUUCAAGGGGCGAACUACUUCUCCAAAAUAGACCUGCGAUCCGGAUAUCACCAAUUACGAGUUCUAGAGGGGGACAUUCCAAAGACAGCCUUCCGAACUCGUUAUGGACACUACGAAUUCGUGGUGAUGCCGUUCGGAUUAACCAAUGCACCAGCAGUAUUUAUGGACCUAAUGAAUAGGGUAUGCCGCCCUUACUUGGAUCAGUUCGUCAUCGUCUUUAUCGAUGAUAUACUUAUCUACUCUCGAAGUGAGGAAGAGCAUAGUCAACACCUACGAAAAGUCCUAGAAACACUGCGAACGGAGAAACUCUAUGCGAAGUUCUCUAAAUGCGAAUUUUGGAUUCGAAGAGUCGAAUUUUUAGGUCACGUUGUUAGCGAGAAAGGUAUACACGUGGACCCCUCCAAAAUUAAGGCUAUUGAGAACUGGUCGGCACCAAAGACACCUACAGAAAUUCGUCAAUUUCUAGGUCUAGCUGGCUACUAUCGCAGAUUCAUAAAGAACUUUUCGAGCAUUGCGAAACCUCUUACUUCAUUAACCCAGAAAGGUGUGGCCUUUGACUGGGAAGCGAAACAAGAGAAGGCAUUCCAGACACUAAAGCAGGCCUUGUGCACCGCACCGAUACUAGCCCUCCCCGAAGGAAUAGAAGACUUUGUUGUGUAUUGCGAUGCUUCAAAUCAAGGACUAGGUUGUGUUCUUAUGCAGAGGGGAAAGGUUAUCGCUUAUGCCUCCCGACAGCUUAAGACACACGAAGUGAACUAUACGACACACGAUCUCGAGUUAGGAGCAGUGGUAUUUGCUCUGAAGAUCUGGAGGCACUACUUAUACGGAACAAAGAGUACUAUUUUCACCGAUCACAAGAGCCUUCAACACAUUUUCGAUCAGAAGGAACUCAACAUGCGACAACGACGAUGGGUUGAGUUACUGAAUGACUACGAAUGCGAAAUUCGUUAUCAUCCUGGCAAGGCCAACGUAGUAGCCGACGCCCUCAGUCGAAAGGAAUACACUGGUCGGAGGGUCAAAUCUCUGACCAUGACUAUCCAUUCCCACUUAUCCACACAAAUUAAGGAAGCACAAAUGGAAGCUUUGCAACCUGAAAAUGUGGCGGGUGAAUCCCUGCGAGGAAUGGAGAAGAAUUUAGAAGUCAAGGGUGGCGGAGCCUACUAUCUCAUGGACCGAAUCUGGACCCCAAAUCAUGGUGGUUUCAGAAACGUAGUCAUGACCGAGGCUCACAACUCAAGAUAUUCCGUUCACCCGGGUUCAGAUAAAAUGUAUCUGGAUCUUAAGAAACUGUACUGGUGGCCUAACAUGAAAGCAGAAAUUGCUACCUUCGUGAGUAAAUGUCUUACUUGCGCUAAGGUUAAGGUCGAGUAUCAGAAACCGUCAGGACUACUACAACAACCAGAGAUACCGGAAUGGAAAUGGGAGCGGAUUACUAUGGACUUCAUAACCAAGUUACCCAAGACGACAAGUGGACUCGAUACCAUAUGGGUCAUUGUCGACAGAUUGACCAAAUCCGCACAUUUCCUACCCAUCAAGGAGACUGACAAAAUGGAGAAGCUUACAAGAACUUACUUAAGGGAAGUAGUGCGACUGCAUGGUGUUCCGAUAUCCAUUAUCUCCGAUCGAGAUAGUAGAUUCACUUCAAGAUUCUGGCAGUCACUACAAAGUUCCCUGGGAACUAGGCUAGACAUGAGUACAGCCUACCACCCACAGACAGACGGACAAAGUGAGAGAACAAUACAAACUUUAGAAGACAUGCUGAGAGCCUGCGUGAUUGACUUUGGAAAGGCAUGGGAUAUUCAUUUACCCCUUGUCGAAUUUUCAUACAACAAUAGUUAUCAUACAAGCAUAAAGGCUGCUCCGUUUGAAGCCCUCUAUGGUCGAAAGUGCAGAUCCCCUCUGUGCUGGACUGAAGUUGGCGAUACCCAGUUAGCUAGAGGAAGAGUUCCUGAAAGCACUCUCACCGGUCCGGAGAUCAUACGUGAAACAACAGAGAAGAUCGUUCAGAUUCGUGAACGAUUGAAAGCCUCAAGAGACCGACAGAAAAGCUACGCUGACCAAAGGAGGAAACCUUUGGAAUUCCAGGUAGGAGACCACGUCUUAUUAAAGGUCUCACCGUGGAAGGGUUUAAUACGAUUUGGAAAGCGUGGGAAACUAAAUCCAAGAUACAUAGGGCCUUUCGAGAUUCUUGCCAGAAUCGGCCCUGUGGCUUACAAGCUUAACCUACCGCGCGAACUUAGUAACAUCCAUCCAACCUUCCACGUCUCAAACUUGAAAAAGUGUCUGUCCGACGAGACUCUUGUUAUUCCACUCGACGAGAUCGAGAUCAACGAGAGCCUCAACUUUGUGGAAGAACCAGUAGAAAUCAUGGACCGAGAGGUCAAACAAACAAAACAAAGUCGCAUACCCAUCGUGAAGGUUCGCUGGAACGCCAAGCGGGGACCCGAAUUCACAUGGGAACGCGAAGAUCAGAUGAAACAAAAGUACCCUCAUCUCUUUCAUGUUCACUAGUAUCUUUACUACUUUAAAUUUCGGGACGAAAUUCUCUCUAACGGGGGGAUGAUGUGACAACCCGAUAUUUCAACUCUUUGUAACGACCAAAAUGGGUCAAGUAUUGUAACCACUUCUGAAUAAUAAAAAGUUACUUUCAUAAUAAAAUGUAUAAAUAAGUUCUACUUAAUUUCCUUCUAUGAUUAAAUGUCUUUGAACCAUGAUCGUACGUGAAAAGAACGCCCAAAUCCGACUUCAUAUAGCGAAGUUAUGAUUUUUCCAAGUUCGGCUUAGCAACAGACAGCUAAAAACUCGAAUCGGAGAUCGAGCGACUUUUGGCCGGAAUGACCUAAACGAGAAUCGAAGGUCUCGACAAUGGUAUUCCAGCGGUAAAAAGUCUGGCAAAAACCGACAUCAGAUAAAGAAGUUAUGAAUUUUCAAAGAAAUUCCUUAAACACGAUGGGUUUUUAAUAAAUAAUAAAAAUAUAAUUUUGGAAUUUGCCGACGGAGUCUAAACGAAAGUUGUAGAGCGUAGUCUCACCUACGCGAGGAUAUAAAGACCAUCGAAAACGGAGUUCGUAUGAAGAAGAUAUGAAUUUUUGAAGUUUAUUAAAUAAAUUAAUUAUUUAUUUAAUUCAAAAUUCGGAUAUUAUCCGAAGGGGAGUCAGCAUCCUCCUCCGAGGUACGCGCUGCGUACCCCUGUACGCCCCGCGUAACCGAGAGGAUUGGCCUCUGAUCGUCCACGUCGCGCUAUCCGAAGAAACCGACCCAUCCGACCCGUCCGAAGCCCCGACCCGUCCGACCCGACGUCCCAUCCGACCCGGCGUCCCAUCCGACCCGCGUACCCAGCAACCCGUCCCAUCCGAACCGAGGCAGUCGAGGCUUCGGUCAUGCAUGACGUACGCGUACGCGCUGCGUACGAGCGUACGCCCCGCGUACCGAGGCAGACCAGCCUUACUAUAAAUAGGAUGCGAGGGUUUCCAAAGAAAGGGUUCAUUUCUCUUCUCUCUCUCUCAACUUUGCCUCGUUUUCCGUGUCCGUUCAAACCCGAAGCUCUGGUCUUUUUGGCUCAAGUCCCGAAGGUCGAUUUUACUCCCGAGAUUCCCGAGAAUCCCGAGGAAAAUCCGUUUCCCGAGACGAAACUCUGCCCGGUUUUCCAUCUCGCUAUCUCCAAAACUUUCAAGUGAGUUUCAUACCCCUUAAUCAACCUUUUUAAUUAUUCUAAAUACUUUUAUAUGCUUUCAAGGGGGGGAUUACAAGUAAAACACACGAGUAUUAUCGUGUGUUACAUAAAGAAACUCUUUUAUAUACUGUUAUAUAUUCAAAUCACAUGCGAUUUAUAAACAUUUAAAGGAACUUUUAUAUAUAUAUAACAUAUGUCACAAUAGCAUUUUACCUUUUAAAAUAUAAUGUUGUUGUAAUGCAUGUAUAAACUAAACUGUUCUUAGAUUUUUCUUGUCUAUCCUAGACUCUACACCAAAAAUCUAUACUUUCAUAAACAAGUGAUUCCUUUUCUCAAUAUUUCUAAACAAACAAGACACGCUUUUUGGAAACUAUAAUAGGUAUAGUUUUACGAACAGAUUUCUAACUCUUAUGUACUAGAAACACAUAUUUCAAGAAGUUUACUUUCGUAUACAAGAACAAACGUAACAUUUUAACAAGUAGAUCUGUUUUUAUACCACGGAUUUGUGAGACACUAACUUCAUGUACGUUCGAGUACACAUUUCAAGUCCUGUAUUAUAUACCAGAAUCCCUUGGAGGGGGAGCAUGGUGUUUGUGUAUAGAUCUAUACGGGCUUGACAACCCGCGCCCUGACUGUUAGCUGCAGUCCACCGUUUGGGGUGACAAACGUCAUAACAUUCCAACGCCUGAAGAACGUUGUGUAUAGGCAUUUCGAGUCAAUAGUAUGGUUAUAAAACUCACAAGGGGUAUUAAAAACGCAUUAAUUUACAAGGUUUUCAAACUCAGUUAUUAUUUUACUUUUACAUACAUUUUGGAAACAAACAUUGGUCUCGAGUGAAGGCUACUUUUAUGCUAGUAGAAAAUAUAGGAUUUUCUAAACACUCACAAGAAAAGAUAAAACAUUUCAUUUCAUUUAAACAUUGUCAUUUAAAUACUUAUGAAAUUCACCAGCUUAAAUGCUGAUCAACUCUUUCAAAAUUACUUGUAUGUCCCAGGGAUUCAGUAAAUUUCAGGUACUAGUAUGCUUUUGAAGAAGAGAUGCUGCGGCGCCAGUUUAAUCUCAUAUUUUUGAACAUCAUAUUGUAAUUGGUUUUGAACAUGUAACUUUUGACAAAUGUAAACUUUCAAUUAUAUAUAUGAUGGUUGUAUUGCUUUCUUUACUAUGUAUUCAUUUGUUACGCUACCACAUGAAGUCAUCCACCCCCGAACGUUUCCGCCGUUCAGGUUUGGGGGUGUGACAGGCUCGCAUCCACCUGAAUAUCCCCUAAUGGAACCACCGCCGAUUCAUCGGCUAUACACUU